Molecule: ribosomal RNA, 122 nt
Filed under: Mustela putorius furo (domestic ferret)
Lineage: Eukaryota; Metazoa; Chordata; Mammalia; Carnivora; Mustelidae
Source: RNAcentral
GUCUACGGCCAUACCACCCUGAACGCGCCCGAUCUCGUCUGAUCUCAGAAGCUAAGCAGGGUCGGGCCUGGUUAGUACUUGGAUGGGAGAAUCAUAGUAUCCUUUUGGUAUAGUUUCAGACU